GACGAACGCUGGCGGCGUGCCUAAUACAUGCAAGUAGAACGCUGAAGCUUGGUGCUUGCACCGAGCGGAUGAGUUGCGAACGGGUGAGUAACGCGUAGGUAACCUGCCUGGUAGCGGGGGAUAACUAUUGGAAACGAUAGCUAAUACCGCAUAAGAGUAGAUGUUGCAUGACAUUUGCUUAAAAGGUGCAAUUGCAUCACUACCAGAUGGACCCGCGUUGUAUUAGCUAGUUGGUGAGGUAACGGCUCACCAAGGCAACGAUACAUAGCCGACCUGAGAGGGUGAUCGGCCACACUGGGACUGAGACACGGCCCAGACUCCUACGGGAGGCAGCAGUAGGGAAUCUUCGGCAAUGGACGGAAGUCUGACCGAGCAACGCCGCGUGAGUGAAGAAGGUUCUCGGAUCGUAAAGCUCUGUUGUAAGAGAAGAACGAGUGUGAGAGUGGAAAGUUCACACUGUGACGGUAUCUUACCAGAAAGGGACGGCUAACUACGUG
Molecule: ribosomal RNA, 497 nt
Filed under: uncultured bacterium
Lineage: Bacteria
Description: partial 16S ribosomal RNA
Rfam family: Bacterial small subunit ribosomal RNA
Source: RNAcentral